GCACACAGUGUCUUGGGUUGUUACGUCAACGUGGAUGGGAGUUACAGAUUCAAGAUGAGGAGACAAAUGGCUACUCGGCACAAUAUUCCUCAACUGGUUUUACUGAUAUGGGGAACACAGCUGAUGGAGGAAACUCUAAGGAAAGCAGAGGAGAUCUUUGGGACAGAUAACAGAGAUCUGUAUUUAUCAUUUCAAGGAUUGCUUAGCCAUAACAUACAC
Molecule: long non-coding RNA, 219 nt
Organism: Rosa chinensis
Lineage: Eukaryota; Viridiplantae; Streptophyta; Magnoliopsida; Rosales; Rosaceae
Exons: 3
Source: RefSeq, a predicted model, not a curated record